GCCCCUGUAGCUCAGCAAGCGCAGAGCGCUUCCCAGCGAGGGAGGAGGUCGACGGUUCCAAUCCGUCCAUGGGUG
This 75-nucleotide transfer RNA is filed under the name Gammaproteobacteria bacterium. RNAcentral's name for it is "tRNA-Arg". It matches the Rfam family "tRNA". Rfam says of the family: Transfer RNA (tRNA) molecules are approximately 80 nucleotides in length. Their secondary structure includes four short double-helical elements and three loops (D, anti-codon, and T loops). Lineage: Bacteria; Pseudomonadati; Pseudomonadota; Gammaproteobacteria. The record is from RNAcentral.